CCCCAUCAUCAAGAGAAGGGCUGGCGCCCUCGCCAACCUGCCUUACCGGGCAAGGUGGUUUCCGCAAACAGGGAUGCGGCCGGACUGACCCUCAGGAGAGGCUGACCGGCAACUAAGCGGUUUACU
RNAcentral lists this non-coding RNA (126 nucleotides) under Labrenzia sp. Its description in RNAcentral is "SAM-I-IV sequence". It matches the Rfam family "SAM-I/IV (S-adenosyl methionine) riboswitch aptamer". From Rfam's summary of the family: It is found upstream of a number of genes which code for proteins involved in methionine or cysteine biosynthesis. It has been found mostly in the order Actinomycetales. The record is from RNAcentral. Lineage: Bacteria; Pseudomonadati; Pseudomonadota; Alphaproteobacteria; Hyphomicrobiales; Stappiaceae.